GUCCACGCCGUAAACGAUGGGAACUAGGUGUGGGCGGUGUCGACUCCGUCCGUGCCGAAGCUAACGCAUUAAGUUCCCCGCCUGGGGAGUACGGCCGCAAGGCUAAAACUCAAAGGAAUUGACGGGGGCCCGCACAAGCAGCGGAGCAUGUGGUUUAAUUCGACGCGACGCGAAGAACCUUACCAAGGCUUGACAUGCACUGGAAAGCCGUAGAAAUACGGCCUCCCUUCGGGGCCGGUGCACAGGUGGUGCAUGGCUGUCGU
RNAcentral lists this ribosomal RNA (263 nucleotides) under uncultured bacterium. RNAcentral describes it as "partial 16S ribosomal RNA". It matches the Rfam family "Bacterial small subunit ribosomal RNA", at positions 793 to 1055 of the family's 1533-position model. The record is from RNAcentral.